CGUCAGUCAGAAUUCUGUUUAAAAAUAAAUCACUAAAGACUUUGUUUUCUCAAUCCAGCACAGUUGCUAUGGCAAUAAUCAGAAGCAGAGCACUUGUGGUGAAAGGCAGAAUGUUUUGAUUGUCAUGUGAAGAUUCACACCUUCAGAAUUCAAUUCUUUUACUAGCUGCUGCUGUUCCUCCUGCUGGCUCAACAGACUGCAGAGAGUCUUUAUUAGCUCUGACAAGCAGCACCAAGACAAUGAUUGUCCAGCUUGCUCUGAGGGCCACUGAGCACUGAGGAAUUAACAAGGCAUUCACUCCCUGCACAAACACCCCAAAGAUGACACCACAGGUGUUUAAUCUACAAAGAAACUUCCUUUUCAUAGGCUGCUCAUGGAAAGAAACUGAAGUAAGGGAAGUAAGGUCUCAGACCAGAGUGAGAGUUUCUUUGGAAGCGCUUGGAUCAAUACCUCAGCUUGCCCUUCAAACUGAAGCACCACGCUGUGGAAACUGCAUAUCUAAACAGUUAUGCACAUACACAUACUUAUUUUUUAAACAUAAAGGAAAGGUUUCAAAAUAUAUCACCAACAGAGGAAGCAGCCUGAAGGUCCUCGCAGGGGUCAACUGAUUAGAAGAAUAUCACAGCACUGCAACAGCAAAUUUCUCUCUGAAUCAUCAACAAACUCUGGUGCAUGUGGCUCUUGUAGAAUCUUGGUUUUCACCCCUGUCCCAUAUGACUCAAAGCCACAAAAGCCAGAGAUACAUCUGACCAUCCAAAAAACUUCUCCACACUACGUGUUUGAAUAGGCAAAGCUGACAACUUGAGAAAAAAAUUAUUAACUGUAGGAAUAUAAUUAUGGGUUACAAAAGUAUCCUUUCCAUCCUCAAAAAGCUUAGUGCAGUUCUGGAUUCAAACCAGCACAGGAAGGAGGUAAUUUCCUAAUCAAACUUCUAAGGUUAUCUUAUCAAACCUACUCGAUGUCCUCUACUUGGAAAACUGGCUCCAGUGUCUCCUUGAAAAAGAGUGACUGAAAUACAGCCAUUCAGCAGGACUGAAAUUACCUACUUUCAGCUAAUAAGUACUCAUGCGAAAACAUGGAUAUUUCACCAAAGAAUCCCAAAGAGAAUCCCAGACAGACAUUCUGCUGUUUCUACCAACAAACAUUUUGGCAUUCAUCCUGAGGACAAGAGCUCACAUUUUCAUCAGUGAAACACAGUCAAUUCACUGCAGCCAAGUGUAAACAAAUCAGUUUUAAAAAAAUUAAGGCGACAUUAGGAAAUGUUCCUUUUAAUUUUUUUCCUUUUUUAUUUUUUUUUAAUAAGUCAACCUUUGAAAAUGCCAUAUUACAGCUGCAGAAAAUGUGACUUUGCCUGACUUUUUUGUUGGGUCAGCCAAAAUUGAAGAAAAACAUGAAAUCUCUCUGUAACCAAGGAUAUACUGCUACUUUAAUAGGCACUGCUCCCAAAGGAAGAGAAAAUCCAAUUACUAAAAUGGUAGCAUAAUCUUCUCAUUAUUAUUUCAGGAGCUCAGAGUUAAUUGGACAAGUUUAGCACCCUGUGAAUGAAUGUGUGUCCUCAUUUCACAAUAAAUAGUCUGUAAUUACUUCCCA
Molecule: long non-coding RNA, 1590 nt
Organism: Zonotrichia albicollis (white-throated sparrow)
Lineage: Eukaryota; Metazoa; Chordata; Aves; Passeriformes; Passerellidae
Source: Ensembl